GGGCGAUUAGCUCAGCGGGAGAGCGUCUGCCUUACAAGCAGAGGGUCGGCGGUUCGAAUCCGUCAUCGCCCACCA
RNAcentral lists this transfer RNA (75 nucleotides) under Bacilli bacterium. Its description in RNAcentral is "tRNA-Val". It matches the Rfam family "tRNA". From Rfam's summary of the family: Transfer RNA (tRNA) molecules are approximately 80 nucleotides in length. Their secondary structure includes four short double-helical elements and three loops (D, anti-codon, and T loops). Lineage: Bacteria; Bacillati; Bacillota; Bacilli. The record is from RNAcentral.